AGCGAACGCUGGCGGCAGGCCUAACACAUGCAAGUCGAACGAACCUUUCGGGGUUAGUGGCGGACGGGUGAGUAACACGUGGGAACGUGCCUUUAGGUUCGGAAUAACUCAGGGAAACUUGUGCUAAUACCGAAUGUGCCCUUCGGGGGAAAGAUUAAUCGCCUUUAGAGCGGCCCGCGUCUGAUUAGCUAGUUGGUUGAGGUAAUGGCUCACCAAGGCGACGAUCAGUAGCUGGUCUGAGAGGAUGAUCAGCCACAUUGGGACUGAGACACGGCCCAAACGACAGCGGGACGCGGGGAGGGGGAGUGUUGCACGAUGGGGAAAGGCGUGAACAAGCCGUACCGGGUGAAUGAAAAAGGCCUAAGAGGUGGAAAAUGCUCCGACGGGGGCGGCAAAAGCAGGGGCGGGGAGAAGAACGCGGGGCUAACUCCGGG
RNAcentral lists this ribosomal RNA (434 nucleotides) under uncultured bacterium. RNAcentral describes it as "partial 16S ribosomal RNA". It matches the Rfam family "Bacterial small subunit ribosomal RNA", at positions 30 to 507 of the family's 1533-position model. The record is from RNAcentral.